RNAcentral lists this transfer RNA (74 nucleotides) under Pontibacillus yanchengensis. Its description in RNAcentral is "tRNA-Thr". It matches the Rfam family "tRNA". Rfam says of the family: Transfer RNA (tRNA) molecules are approximately 80 nucleotides in length. Their secondary structure includes four short double-helical elements and three loops (D, anti-codon, and T loops). Lineage: Bacteria; Bacillati; Bacillota; Bacilli; Caryophanales; Bacillaceae. RNAcentral also lists the same sequence under 2 other names. The record is from RNAcentral.
GCUUCCAUAGCUCAGCUAGGUAGAGCGCUUCCAUGGUAAGGAAGAGGUCGCCGGUUCAAGUCCGGCUGGAAGCU